UGGGCCUGUUGUGCGUCCUCACAAAAAAAAAUCUCGCCGGUCCACACGCUCUCCCCCGGAAACGCUUCUUCUCGUCUUCCCCAGUUCUGCCGCCGCCGCCGCCUACCUCUGCCCCAACCUUGCCACCUCCUCUGCCCGUCUACCGUCCUUCCGUCACACCCCGAGGCCCUCAUCACCUCUUCCCACCCGCUCAUCUGCUUUGUGCCGUCGGCCUCCCUCUCGUCCGCUAACCGGCCAUCGCGACGGGGAGCUAGAUCUGCGCCGACACGCCUCAUCAUCGCCUUCGUCUUCUGCUGUGUGCCUACACAUCGGCUAUAGGGACAAGGACCUCGCCGGCUCGCGCAUAAUAGGUCAACGGCAAGCAGUGGAGGUGCAGCAGCGGUCGACGAUGGUGGACCAGAUCAGCGCGUCAUGGGGGUGGACUCCAAGGCCGUCACGUGCAGAGAAGAGAGAGGCCGGCACGGCGGCCGGGCGCGGUCUGGAGAACCGGUGGCCGGUAGUGCGCGAUAUGGGCGUGCGCGACCUGCGUGAGUUGGAGGCGAGGUGGCAUCCUUGACUAGCAUGCCGUCGUAGAUCCUCAUCGUGCCUCCAGGAGAGGAGCUCGUCGAGGAUCCCCUCUUCUCCACGGAUCCAUGAUGGAGGGUCAUAUAUGGAGGACUGGAUUUGAAUGGAAAGAAUUGGAAGGAGUUUUUUUUUCCGGAUGUUCCUGAGGCACUAAAGAACUUGCAUUCUCACCGAAUGAAGGUAUGUAUAUAUUUGGUCAAACUCUUCUGAGAUGUGAAUUGGGCUUUUAAGGCAUAAAACUAGAUUGUCACUGGCUGUGUUUAUUGUUCAUACUUCGUAAAUGAGUGAUUUAGGUCAGAAAGUUGUCUCCUGAGCUAAAGUGUCAAGAAUAAUACCCAUAGCAGAACUCUGUGAAUCAUUCACACACAAAAAAGAGUGUACUUCUGCAACGUGCUGAACCAUUGAGAAAGUCAUCAAAUAUUCAGUUGCUCUACGGUUUGUCUAUUCUACUUUCAUAUAUGCAAAUCAAUAUCGGUUUGAAUAAAGCAGAAUGAUAUGAUGCUAUGGAAUGCUCAGUCCAUCACCAUACUGAGAAAUAAGAUUGUUUUUUUGGCUGGUAGAUUGUCAAAAGUCGUAAUGUAGUGAAGCAUAGAGUAUUAGUUGGACAUGGUAGAUGUAACCGAGCUCUGUUAUAAUUAAAAGAGAAUAAGUAAAAAUGCGAGGAGAUCAAGAAGUUGAUAGUUGAGCUGGACUACUUGAGGAAGCGGCUUCAGGAGCUCAAACCCAACAACAACUGUGGCUUCGGAAAAGAUGUAAGCUCUCCUGUUAUAAGAUUGGUUGCAUGUUCUUUAAUUAGCAAUUGUUCUCGUCAUUUAUAAUUUACUUGCUCACUUUUUUCUCACCAAUAGUUAUUAUAUGAAAGGAAUUGCUGGACAUGAUGUUUGUUUGACCAAAACCCUUUCGUUGUGGUUUCUCCAUAUGAAUUUUCUGAAGAAAAUAUGUCAAUCCGGUUCUCCACUUAUGCAACUCUAAAAGUAAAAAAAAUUAGAGACUACUUUGUGUUGAUUUAAUUAUAUCUUUGUUUGCCUACUUUCAUCUAGGUUGAUCUAGUCUUAUGGAACUAAUUUUGGUGAUGAAAUAUCUUCCCUCGAACUGAUGAAAAUAUUUCCCUUUUUUCCUUGCAGCCUUAGUAAUUAGUUUUACAACUCUGCAACUACAAUAUACAUUCUAAUCUGAGCCUUAGUAAUUAGUUUUACAACUCUGCAACUGCAAUAUACAUUCUAAUCUGUGAUGGAUGUGGGUACAUAUCUGACAUUGUUUCUGUUGUACCAGUGUUUCCUGGUAUGUUUCUGUUCCUUUCUCAAAUUUGUAUUCAUUCAAGUGGCCAUUUGGCGCUCAGAUACGAAGUAUUUGGCCACUGACGUUUGAAUGAAAAUCAGUUGCUGGAUGCUCAUUUAUGGUCCUUUUUUCCUUGUUCUUUUGCUGUACACACUACAAAUCAGUUUCACGAAUUUCUGAUAUGAUUGCUUCAAUGAUGAUUUUUGUAGAAGAACUUGCCUUUGGAAUUAAAGAAGAUUGCUUUGACACUGACCAGAGACAUACGAAGGAGUGAGCUAAUUCCGUUGUACUGUGCUUCAUGCUUUUUUAUCAUUGUUUGCGUCUUAAAAAAUUCCCUACAGAUUUCAGGGCUAGCAAAUAUGCUAAAGAUAGGUACAGAGAAGGCAAUCAGUGCACUGGAUUCGAUAUUGAUGCGAGAAAAAAUGCCUUUGGGUCGAAGCCCACUUACUGUUAUUCUCAUGGUGUUUUACCCAAAGGAUGUUAAUCAGCACCUUACUUUUGAGUUUCAAAGUUCAAGCGAUUAUUACUUAUCUAUUUAUCUAUAUUACAGUGAAUAAGCCCACUUACUAAUAUUCUAUGCAAGGAGAAAUAUGAAGUAUAUAUUCUAUGCAAAACCAUCAUAAUAAUGUGUAAAGUUCUGAGUUUAUUGAACAAAAUCACCAUUGAAAAAUAGAAAUGCAUUAGACCUUGGAGGUUACUUGUGAAAAGGAAGUGCUUCAGGUUACUCUUUGACUGUUUGUAGAUCUUCUUUCUGUAAGCUCGUGGUUUCUUCAAGGACUUGAACGGUGUGUAUAUAUUAACUAGCUGAAGAAGGAAGGAAAAUGGAAAGAAUAUGAGAUGCAUAAACUCCCGACUUUAAAUCAGAAGCAAGAAAAUGGUCAAUUUUCACAUUUAUUUCCUUUCUCGUGGCUUCAAAAUAACUUCGUAGUUAUGCAAGCUUGCUCCGUGUAGGGUUUACAACGAAAAACUGAAGAAGUUGUGAUGGACUGAAAAAAUUGCUCAAAGCAAAGGCGUCCACUCGGGAUACAUAUUUCUAGAAGCUAUAGAGAGUGUAUUUAUGUAUUCAUAGGUAUAUGAUCACUUUCUCCGCUCCCAUUUGUAUGCAUUAUGGUUUACCUUUGGAAAAAGCUGUUGUGUAGUAUUUCUAUGUGUUUCGGUACGCAUACAUCUGGUUAUUUUUAUUCUGGAGAAUUGAAUUAGUGAAGUGGCCGGUGAUAAGAAGAAGAGAGAUAUACCAUUCACUUGUGUGUUAGUUAUUGCUUCAAACAUGGCAAUCAAAGCCUACAGAAAAAUUCAAACAAUUAAUUAGAGAUCCUCUUCAUUAGAUAAAAUAGAGUUUGCCUGAUUCUUAGAUAGCUUGCUUGCAUUUGCUCUGUUAUUUUCAAUAUAAAUGUAUUGAGUUACUGUGACUAACAUGACACUUGAAUAUUCAGUCUGUGUGUUAGAUGUGAGUGAUGGAUAGGGUCACACUCACACUUCUCUUCCUCCAUUUAUGUUUUUGUCUUGAACUUCGUUUUGGUGCACACCUCCUCUGGAGACUUACUUAUCUUUCUCAUUGUCGUCCUCCUACAAAUUCAGCUUAUGCGCUUGUUGGUUAGCUUGUGAGUAAGGUGUCGUUUGAGGUGAUUCUCCCAUUUAUCUUAUUUAUCUUAUUAUUAUGUCAACAUGGUACACUAGGUGUCAGGUUUAUGUCCACUACAUUUGUAUCUUACAAUACUAAAUUUGUUUGCUUUUAUUUGAUAAGUUACCAGAGCUUCCAGCCUUCCAGCCUUAAUGUGAGUACAUUAUACCGUCGAGCUUUGUUUUCACUAGAUUUGUAGAGCUAUGCUAGAGUGUUAAAAAGGGUACAUAUGCCAUCUUCUACAAUUAAAGCUUUUUUGUCAAUCUUAUCUUACCUAUGAAUGCCCUCACAGAAAACAUGUUAAUAUUUGUUCCAUUGUCUUUCAGGAGGGCCACAAGGCUAGGACGGUUUGCCAGAGCAACAUAUCCCCUCCCUGCUACAAAGGAUUGAUUCUUUUAACCAGGUUUGGAAUUGAAGUAUUAGCUAGAGAACUAUAUUAAAAUGUUAGCUUGCCGCACGUUACCUUCAUCAGUCUGAUUAGACUAUGCUUCAGCAUAACAGCUAGGCCUUGCAUAAGUAAAACAGAUGCGCCAUUGUAUUUUUACAAAUACAAUGGUCUAUUUUCGAACGAAAAUGCUUUAUUAGUAUAAAUAAUGGUUCAGUGUUAAUCGAAAGUACAAAGAUCUAUUUUAGUGUUUUUUGCAUUAGAAGAGAGUAAGGUGCGAAACUGACUCAUCUGAUUUCCUGUAUUUUAGAUAGGGUUCCAAAUAUCAAUCAGAUAUUAAUUAUCUGUGAAAAAUCCUUAGCAUGUGGCCAUCUAAAUUUAUUUGUUUUACUAAGCCGCACAAACCAGAUUUGUACAUGUAGACCCUGUGUCGAUCGACAAGGUGGAAAUAGAAUUCUCUCGAAAGAAAAAGGGGAUAUGUAGAUUUUGUGUGCGAGUAAAACUAGGAUAGAUAGAUAGAUAGAUAAGGUGUACUACCUCGGAUUGGCUUUUGCUGAAUGGAUUGUUACUUUUGUCUUGCACUGAACUAAACAAGUGCCCAUGCAGUUUCAGAAUCUGAACUUCUGUCUCAUUAAACAAGAAGAGCGAGGCCGGUCAUCCAUGAUGCAUUUAUAGAUCCAUUUGAUGACGAGUCCCAUCCCAUCUUGAAUACCCCUAUUUAUUUCAAGGGUACUAGCUAGCAUUACCGUGUUUGUGUUUGCUGAUUAAGUUUUGAGAUUAAUAGCUAUUAUUCUCAUUCUGUAUGUUUUAUAUAUGACACCUUCUGUACAUACUGAUGUCCAGAUAAAUCAGCUAUGUAGUCUUAAUAUUUCAUAUAUACUAUCAAUUUUUGCCUCAAGCUUUAAAUCAGUUAUGUGUUGUGCAACACAUAUCAUGAGAGUGACCACUCCAAGAUUUUAAUGUUGGUAAUUAUGUAUGGUCCUAGCCAUAUUUGAUAUCAUAUUGUAGGCAAGGUAUAGUCGAUACUGUCAUUCUUCUUUUUGCGGUUAAAAGAUAGGACAAUUCAGUUGUGCAAGAAGAAUUUUAGAGGUUACUUCAGUACUUUGGGUCAUUAGUUUGAAGAAAACAUUUUAGGCUUUCUCUUCUGCUGUUGUUCAUGCGGAUAUCAUUUUUCUUUUAUUCUUGUGUUAACUAAGAAAAGGUUAUACCAUAUUAGUUGGAACUUUAUCUCAGAUUCUUUGUUUGCAAACUGAUUUGUUGAACUUUUGGUGUAAGGAGAUCAACUAUGUCUUGCUUGCAUUGCAUGCUACAACACUUCGGUGAAGAAAUAUGCGAUAUAAGAGGCAGGGCAGCGCGUCCGGCUACCCUACGAGAAGAAGUGCGUGCAGCUGAGGACCCAGGAUGCCAACGAUGUGGAGCCGUUCACCAUUGAGGGGACCAGGGCUGCCAUCAGGGACCUCCAGACCAAGGUCAACAUCUCUGCCGUCUUCAUCGACGGCGUGUCCCGAAGUGUCAUUGCCGUCCGUAAUGACUCAUCUAAAUGUACGUAUUUUUAUGAAGCACACAACGGAUGAGGUGAGUGUGCUCCUCUCGGACUCGCCGCACGGUUAGAGGGAGGCAUCAAUGGCACGCCGCCGCUCGUAACAUGCAGCAAUUUCUAUUGUUGUAUCUUAUGUUGCCAUGCAACAAGAUGCUUCUGUCGAUGGCAUUAUAUUGUUGUGUGUUGCCUGUGAUGGCAUUUUAGUUUCUUUCUCACAUGAUGCAUCUAUAUAAUAAGAUUCUCAAGAAUUGAAUGUAUGUGUUAUCUAGAUCAAAAAAGGAAACUGAAAGGUUCAUUUCUUUACUUGGCA
Triticum aestivum (bread wheat) is the source of this 5698-nucleotide long non-coding RNA. RefSeq lists it as uncharacterized. Lineage: Eukaryota; Viridiplantae; Streptophyta; Magnoliopsida; Poales; Poaceae. The transcript is spliced from 3 exons. The record is from RefSeq and is a predicted model, not a curated record.